Molecule: ribosomal RNA, 468 nt
Filed under: uncultured bacterium
Lineage: Bacteria
Description: partial 16S ribosomal RNA
Rfam family: Bacterial small subunit ribosomal RNA
Source: RNAcentral
GAUGAACGCUGGCGGCGUGCUUAACACAUGCAAGUCGAACGGUGAAGGCGGAGCUUGCUCUGCUGGAUCAGUGGCGAACGGGUGAGUAACACGUGAGCAAUCUGCCCCUGACUCUGGGAUAAGCGCUGGAAACGGAGUCUAAUACUGGAUACGAGCUGCGAAGGCAUCUUCAGCAGCUGGAAAGAAUUUCGGUCAGGGAUGAGCUCGCGGCCUAUCAGCUUGUUGGUGAGGUAAUGGCUCACCAAGGCGUCGACGGGUAGCCGGCCUGAGAGGGUGACCGGCCACACUGGGACUGAGACACGGCCCAGACUCCUACGGGAGGCAGCAGUGGGGAAUAUUGCACAAUGGGCGAAAGCCUGAUGCAGCAACGCCGCGUGAGGGACGACGGCCUUCGGGUUGUAAACCUCUUUUAGCAGGGAAGAAGCGAAAGUGACGGUACCUGCAGAAAAAGCGCCGGCUAACUACGUG